This 576-nucleotide ribosomal RNA is filed under the name uncultured bacterium. Its description in RNAcentral is "bacterial SSU rRNA". It matches the Rfam family "Bacterial small subunit ribosomal RNA", at positions 953 to 1490 of the family's 1533-position model. The record is from RNAcentral.
GAAGCAACGCGAAGAACCUUACCAGGUCUUGACAUCCCCCUGACCGCAUCAGAGAUGGUGCUUUCCUUCGGGACAGGGGAGACAGGUGGUGCAUGGUUGUCGUCAGCUCGUGUCGUGAGAUGUUGGGUUAAGUCCCGCAACGAGCGCAACCCUUGAUGUUAGUUGCCAGCAGGUGAGGCUGGGCACUCUAAGAUGACUGCCGGUGACAAACCGGAGGAAGGUGGGGAUGACGUCAAAUCAUCAUGCCCCUUAUGACCUGGGCUACACACGUACUACAAUGGCCGGUACAACGGGAAGCGAAGGAGCGAUCCGGAGCCAAUCCCAGCAAAGCCGGUCUCAGUUCGGAUUGCAGGCUGCAACUCGCCUGCAUGAAGUCGGAAUUGCUAGUAAUCGCGGAUCAGCAUGCCGCGGUGAAUACGUUCCCGGGUCUUGUACACACCGCCCGUCACACCACGAGAGUUUACAACACCCGAAGCCGGUGGGGUAACCUGAAGCGUUUCGCAAGAAACGCACAUCGGAAGCGAUGCUCAGGGGCCAGCCGUCGAAGGUGGGGUAGAUGAUUGGGGUGAAGUCGUA